GAUCUUUUCUAGAUUCUGUUUGGUAGUCGCUCAAGCAUUCAGCGGCUCCCAUGGCCGUGCUUAAAUCAGUAACCUUCUGUCUUUGAAGUUCCGUGCGUGUCCACGGUUUCAACCCUUCCAUAAAGGUGAAGAGCUUGUCCUUUUCUGACAUAUCUCGAAUAUUCAGCAUAUGCCCUGAGAAGGAUUUCACAUACUCCCUGAUAGAGCUCGUGUGUUUCAAGUCUCGAAGAGCCCG
RNAcentral lists this long non-coding RNA (235 nucleotides) under Olea europaea (common olive). RNAcentral's name for it is "long non-coding RNA (OEUR_LNC005362)". Lineage: Eukaryota; Viridiplantae; Streptophyta; Magnoliopsida; Lamiales; Oleaceae. The record is from RNAcentral.